ACAGCUUUCUCUGCAACGGGUGCCUCCACAAUUGUGAUAGAGAAUGACAUGCCCCAGCAUAAUGCCUCAACCCAAGUGUCAACCUACCCUUGACAGAGAAGAGAACCCCAAAUGAAUCUCCCAAGCAACACAAGCUGACCCAACACAGCAAAGCGAGUCACCUUUGAAGAGAAAGAAUGACGCUUAUUUUCUCCUCCAAAGACCUACUUGGAAAGUAGACGUGGUUUACUGCAAAUCUCUCCCUGCCUGCCCCAGGAUGUUGUCAAGAUGUAUUAAACAGCAAAGGAGGGGAGGAAAAUAAGUUCUGGGAGAUCUGCUGGUAUAGAAAAGUGGGACAGUGUGCUGGGCCCUCGUCUUCCACCCCGGGAGGCUGACAGUAUGGACCACAUCCGUGGGAUCUCUGGAUUCUGGUUGAGUCUGCCAGAGAGAGUCAGGCUCCCUCCCUGAUUCUCCCUGUGGAAAAUCACAUCGGACUGGCUCUGGCCCUUGACCAAAAGUCAUUGUGUUUCUCAAAACAGCCUGCUUUAUACAGCUUUCUCCAGGGUUCCAGUAACUGCAUCCUUCCCCUGCCCUCCCGGUUCAGGGUGGUAAGGGCUCUGCUAUUUCUCCUGAGUUGCAGUGUCAUCUCCUAUAGUUCCCUGCACCUCAUUCUCUCUUGUGUAAAAUGUCACUAAUUAAAUAUCCUUCGAUGCCCCUAACUUGAAUGUGUCUUAAGACCCAAACUGAUACAGACAAGGUGAUUGCAAAUGUCAGGUGAAGCUUUGACUCCUGGUUCCAGCACUGUCAAAAGCCUUGGGAAAGAACAUUUCAUGUCUCUGUAUCUCAGUGGUCUCAACUGUAAAAUGGGAAGAAAACAACACAACUAUGACGGCCUACCUGAGCAUCAGAUGUGUCCAUGUAAGGAAAGUACCCAGAGACGUCCUGGUUAUACAGUAGGAGCACAAGGAAUACAAGUCCUCCCCCUUUCAUGCCAUUUUUCCCCUCUCCAACACUUCCUCCUGUCUUGUAACAAUGGGAGGCUUUGGACGAUUUAAAGGCUCUUCUCCGUUGCAUGAGUCAGAAACAAGUAACAAAACCAAGUGAUAAAUUUACGUGGACCACAGACAGACGCCUUUUUGUGCUUGUCAAUAAAAUGUUUAAAAUAGAACUUGAUUUGCUUUCGCUUUAAAGAAGGUUAUUAACUUGCUUAGAUUUACCCGAGGAACAGAGGCAGGUGUUGUUCCCCAUUACUCACUAGGUCUUUAAUCAGCAUCCAGG
RNAcentral lists this long non-coding RNA (1257 nucleotides) under Homo sapiens (human). RNAcentral describes it as "HSALNT0227372". The record is from RNAcentral. Lineage: Eukaryota; Metazoa; Chordata; Mammalia; Primates; Hominidae.